This 466-nucleotide ribosomal RNA is filed under the name uncultured bacterium. Its description in RNAcentral is "partial 16S ribosomal RNA". It matches the Rfam family "Bacterial small subunit ribosomal RNA", at positions 28 to 507 of the family's 1533-position model. The record is from RNAcentral.
GAUGAACGCUGGCGGCGUGCUUAACACAUGCAAGUCGAACGGAAAGGCUCCUGCUUGCAGGGGUACUCGAGUGGCGAACGGGUGAGUAACACGUGGGUGAUCUGCCCUGCACUUCGGGAUAAGCCUGGGAAACUGGGUCUAAUACCGGAUAGGACGAUGGUCUGGAUGCCAUUGUGGAAAGUUUUUUCGGUGUGGGAUGAGCUCGCGGCCUAUCAGCUUGUUGGUGGGGUAAUGGCCUACCAAGGCGUCGACGGGUAGCCGGCCUGAGAGGGUGUACGGCCACAUUGGGACUGAGAUACGGCCCAGACUCCUACGGGAGGCAGCAGUGGGGAAUAUUGCACAAUGGGCGCAAGCCUGAUGCAGCGACGCCGCGUGGGGGAUGACGGCCUUCGGGUUGUAAACUCCUUUCGCUAGGGACGAAGCGCAAGUGACGGUACCUGGAGAAGAAGCACCGGCUAACUACGUG